This 367-nucleotide unclassified non-coding RNA is filed under the name Bombus terrestris (buff-tailed bumblebee). Its description in RNAcentral is "misc RNA ENSBTSG00005038119.1". The record is from RNAcentral. Lineage: Eukaryota; Metazoa; Arthropoda; Insecta; Hymenoptera; Apidae.
ACGUGUACACAAAGCCGGAUAGAGUUCGCGCGCGCAGUUUACGACGAGACCGGCAACGAUCAGACAUCAAAGCGGCUUCUGCUAUAUACACUGUUAUAAAAACUCUCACGGAACUUCAUUGAGCACUGGAAGCGAGCCAAUCAGAGAUCACAGUAGAAAGAGGGCGCGUUUACGCACGUCGUUGACGCGUGCGAAUGACGUCACAAUGUGACGUUGCGUGCGUGCACGCACGAUACGCCAAACGAUUACGGUGGAUCGUAACAGAAUAAAAUAGUGAUACAGACGUGACGUGUUUCAGAUAUAUCUAUCUUUUUCAUAAUCUUUUCGUAUGAUUUUUUUUGAAAGUUUUUAAAAUUUCUAAUUUAAU